Molecule: ribosomal RNA, 460 nt
Filed under: uncultured bacterium
Lineage: Bacteria
Description: partial 16S ribosomal RNA
Rfam family: Bacterial small subunit ribosomal RNA
Source: RNAcentral
CCUACGGGUGGCAGCAGUGAGGAAUAUUGGUCAAUGGACGAGAGUCUGAACCAGCCAAGUAGCGUGAAGGAUGACUGCCCUAUGGGUUGUAAACUUCUUUUAUAAAGGAAUAAAACGAGGCACGUGUGCCUUUUUGCAUGUACUUUAUGAAUAAGGAUCGGCUAACUCCGUGCCAGCAGCCGCGGUAAUACGGAGGAUCCGAGCGUUAUCCGGAUUUAUUGGGUUUAAAGGGAGCGUAGAUGGGUUGUUAAGUCAGUUGUGAAAGUUUGCGGCUCAACCGUAGAAUUGCAAUUGAUACUGGCAGUCGUGAGUACAGUUGAGGUAGGCGGAAUUCGUGGUGUAGCGGUGAAAUGCUUAGAUAUCACGAAGAACCCCGAUUGCGAAGGCAGCUUACUAAGCUGUGACUGACAUUGAUGCUCGAAAGUGUGGGUAUCAAACAGGAUUAGAUACCCUGGUAGUC